RNAcentral lists this non-coding RNA (106 nucleotides) under Clostridium tetanomorphum. Its description in RNAcentral is "SAM-I sequence". It matches the Rfam family "SAM riboswitch aptamer (S box leader)". Rfam says of the family: The SAM riboswitch is found upstream of a number of genes which code for proteins involved in methionine or cysteine biosynthesis in Gram-positive bacteria. The SAM riboswitch acts at the level of transcription termination control. The record is from Rfam by way of RNAcentral. Lineage: Bacteria; Bacillati; Bacillota; Clostridia; Eubacteriales; Clostridiaceae.
CGCUUAUCAAGAGAGGUGGAGGGACUGGCCCUAUGAAGCCCAGCAACCGAUAUUAUUAAGGUAAUGUCAGGUGCUAAUUCCUGCGGUGUGUGCCGAAAGAUGAGGA